GGCGUGUUAGCAAAGCGGUUAUGCACUGGAUUGCAAAUCCAUGUAGAUCGGUUCGACUCCGGUACACGCCUCCAUUA
Molecule: transfer RNA, 77 nt
Filed under: Actinobacillus pleuropneumoniae serovar 3 str. JL03
Lineage: Bacteria; Pseudomonadati; Pseudomonadota; Gammaproteobacteria; Pasteurellales; Pasteurellaceae
Description: tRNA-Cys
Rfam family: tRNA
About the family: Transfer RNA (tRNA) molecules are approximately 80 nucleotides in length. Their secondary structure includes four short double-helical elements and three loops (D, anti-codon, and T loops). Further hydrogen bonds mediate the characteristic L-shaped molecular structure. tRNAs have two regions of fundamental functional importance: the anti-codon, which is responsible for specific mRNA codon recognition, and the 3' end, to which the tRNAs corresponding amino acid is attached (by aminoacyl-tRNA synthetases). tRNAs cope with the degeneracy of the genetic code in two manners: having more than one tRNA (with a specific anti-codon) for a particular amino acid; and 'wobble' base-pairing, i.e. permitting non-standard base-pairing at the 3rd anti-codon position.
Source: RNAcentral